UGUUACAGAGAAUUCAUUUCCCUCUCCAAACUGCCUUCCUCCCUUUUGACACAAAAGCAGAGAAAAGCUGCCUGUCGGUUAUCAAAAGUAUCUUUUCCUUCCUGCCUGCAAUUAAGUGCUACACACACACCACCCCCCACCCCAAUACCCCCUCACAGUCCAACUGCAGAAUCACCGAUGACCGAAACUAAACACUGAUGCUUCUUGCAAUCUGAAGAGGAUGUAAGUCAGUUUGAUUCCAAGUUUACACGUCAGACACCUGUUGACAGCCCAGAUGAUGCAACUCUCAGUGAAAGUGCCAAUCAGGUCUUUCUGAUGCCACUGCGAGAACGGGAACAAUGGAACAGGCCCU
Molecule: long non-coding RNA, 352 nt
Organism: Gorilla gorilla gorilla (western lowland gorilla)
Lineage: Eukaryota; Metazoa; Chordata; Mammalia; Primates; Hominidae
Exons: 3
Source: RefSeq, a predicted model, not a curated record